Molecule: long non-coding RNA, 2594 nt
Organism: Hippocampus comes (tiger tail seahorse)
Lineage: Eukaryota; Metazoa; Chordata; Actinopteri; Syngnathiformes; Syngnathidae
Exons: 13
Source: RefSeq, a predicted model, not a curated record
UUUGAAAAAGAAACCUUGACCUUGACCUCGACCUCUAUUUGUUUACGUCUUGUCGUCAUCCGCGAAGGCUGCAUGAAGUAACGAGCCUAAUUUUACCAAAUGUGGACCACAUCCCGACGCCAAACCGGAGUUCACCGUCAUCCGCCGCUUCCCCGCUGCGGGGCUACGACGCAAACGCACGGGGUGUCAGCAUGACCGCAGCCUGCCCAGUCAACACAUGUCGGGGAGAUCGUGGAGCGCCGAUCAAAAGUGCGCGCGAAGCACCGCACGCCGUUUCUGGUGUGAUUAUCGCGGGAGGAGUACGUGACGAGUGCUUUAAACUUCAGCCGGCUCUCACCUCACGGCGUGCGCUGAGCUGCAAAGUCACGCAAGAUGCUGGGAAAAAAAAACCCCGCCGCCGCUUCCCGACACCUUCGUCAAGUGAGCAGCUCGCGCAGCAGAGACGAGAAGCGUAUGGCCAAACAGCCGAGCGGCAUCGCCGGCGUUCAAAGAGCGACAGGUGUACCUCCUGACCUGUCCCUUUGGUGUACGUCUUGGCCAUACGUCACUGUUGAUGCUGCGUGCGAGCGCGGCGUUUGCGCCUUUUAACCGCCGUAAUUGGGCGAUGGCCGAAGCAGAUGUUGGCCCACGGCUGACGUCUCCAAACCGACCGCCGCUUUCCCGCACGCCCGUGAAAGGAAACCAGUUAAAACUCCAUCCAAAUUGGUCUCGGGCUGUAAAACACGCUGGAAAUUAUUAACUCCACAUGCCUGCGCCGCUGAUGAACUGGAAUCCCAGAACAACCUUUGGAUUUUGGCGAAUCACCUUGGAGGGAGACGCUGAUUGAGAACAGGACUGCUGAAUCCAGGAGGAACAAGCGAGAUGAUUUGUCGAGAGGCCCGAGGGAGCCAGCCGGCGCGCCUUGAAAACAGGUGGUGCAACAUCACACCGCAGCGUGCCUUCGGGGAAUAUUUGAAGACGUUCAGGAAAUGCACCAAAAACAAAACGCAUCCGCCACGCGACACAUGACAAACGACAAACUCAAGUUACGGCGCUGACACGGAGCCUGCCGUGAACUCGUGAGACGUUCCCCGCCAAAAUUUCACUGUGACGCAAUUGAAUGCAUGUGUAACAGUAGGCUGGAUCCCAUCAGUACCGCUUGGACUCGCCAGCAAGUGUAUGCAAAGCGGUGGGCAAGAUCUCUCCUGUAAAGUGUUACAAUGAGCUUGAUCUCGCCAGCAAGGGUGUGCAUGCCGGCGGACGUUUCGGCACUCUCUUCUUCUGAGUUGCUCGGCAGGCUGUCUCUCCUUAUCUUACUGAUCACUCCAAAAUGUAUUAGCAGAGCGGUCGACUGUCAAUCCAGCUGCCCAAAGGUCCUUACAGCGCUCCAUCCAUCCUCUCUAAAGGCCUGGCGGUCCCUUUGGCCUCGCUCUGGAUCAAGUCCCCCCCACAAGCCCCCCCCACCCCCUGACCCCGUUAGAGGUGCAUGAUGGGCGGCCCUGUCACUUCAAAUGGCUGCCCGGGUCCGGCGCGAGACUCACCCCUCACUGCGACAAGCCGAAGCAAGUUGAGAUCAUAUUUGGUGCUGCGGAACCUGUCAAUGUCUUUGCUGCUGAAGUUUCACCAAGAAACUGAAGCGGGAAUUUUUACCCAGCCCUACGCAUGAAGUCGACUUUCCUUCAACGAUCCCGCGCAGUCAUCCGAGGGGCCUGUCCCUUGCUGAUUUUGGGCCAGUGACAAACUACACCCUGGACUGGUCGCCAGCCACUCGCAGAGUCCAGCAACAUUUUGUAAUUCAAACCUCAAACGUCUAUGCGGCCUUUGUCUGUUUAAUGUCGGACCCGACAAAAGAGUGUCGUUUUUCUGGUACAUCUUCUAUCGUUGACAUUUUAUGUUUCCGACAAAAGAGACGGGUCGCAUUAUUUGGAAGUUGCCAAAGUCCGUCAGGCUCACCUGUCUCUUUUGCCCUUCUCCUGCCCUUCCUGUCCAAGCGCCGCAUCACAGUUGGACGUCAUCUGGCCCCGUGAAUGGCACAUUGUUUUGCCGGCUCCUCGGCGGCCGCGCGAGCAGAUGCCGAGAGCAGCCGCCACGCCGGUCCCCGCGCAACGCCUUCAACGCGGGGCCGUAAAUUACAUCCCGCCAACACACAAACACCGCCGCGCUCCACUGAGUGUGUGUGCAGUUUAGAGCACCAUUGAAGGUGCAGAGGCAUAUCCCGAUCUCGCUUUGAGAGCGGGGUCGGGUUUUUGAGGCGGCGGGGUGGGGGGGAGGCGGCCCCGCGGCGUGCCACCGCCGCCCGGACGGGCAGAUCACACGCGGACAGCUGGGCUUUGAACUCCUUACCCCGCCACUCCCGUCCGGGGUCAGCAGCUCGGUGGCCGCAAAAAGGUCACGCGGCAAUAAGAGGCCCGACUUCUGGUGAACUGCCGAAGCUGUUUUGACUGAGUCCCCGCGGCACCGUUGCGAGGCGAUACUUUGCGGCAUAGUACCGCGUUACCGUACUGAAGUAGGCUUCUCGGGUGUCUGUACUAUCAGGGGUCAAGGUGAACAAAAAACGGAUGAAAUAACCACAACUCAAAUUGAAAAAAAAACGUUUUUGUUCACCACAUGAAAUU